RNAcentral lists this ribosomal RNA (254 nucleotides) under uncultured bacterium. Its description in RNAcentral is "partial 16S ribosomal RNA". It matches the Rfam family "Bacterial small subunit ribosomal RNA", at positions 524 to 776 of the family's 1533-position model. The record is from RNAcentral.
UACGUAGGGUGCGAGCGUUGUCCGGAAUUAUUGGGCGUAAAGAGCUCGUAGGCGGUCUGUCGCGUCGAUCGUGAAAACUUGGGGCUUAACUCUGAGCUUGCGGUCGAUACGGGCAUGACUGGAGUUCGGCAGGGGAGACUGGAAUUCCUGGUGUAGCGGUGAAAUGCGCAGAUAUCAUGAGGAACACCGGUGGCGAAGGCAGCUCUCUGGGACGGUACUGACGCUGAGACGCGAAAGCGUGGGGAGCGAACAGG